Molecule: long non-coding RNA, 854 nt
Filed under: Helianthus annuus (common sunflower)
Lineage: Eukaryota; Viridiplantae; Streptophyta; Magnoliopsida; Asterales; Asteraceae
Description: sRNA HanXRQr2_Chr14g0626631
Source: RNAcentral
AUGCUGGCGAGUACAUAGGUUUUAUAGGUGUGUCGAAUUCAUGGCUAGUUUAAGUGUUGCAAUACUUUAUUAAAAACUUUGUUUUGAAAAGAGUAUAAUAUUGCAACUUAAUUGACCAACUCGAAUCAAGCGGGUUAUAGUUUAUAAAACCUCGUAGCCAUGAUUCUUAACCCAAAACCUUUGCUUUAGAACACCAACUUGUAAAACAUCUUGCAAUAACUCGUUAAAAGCUCGUAUAGUUUAUACCUCUUAGAAAAACAUCGUUGUGUGAUAUCGUUUCAAAAUCGUUUACCCAAGUGAACUAAAUAACGCCACGAUAUGUAAUAUGAUGAAAACACUUAUAUAUAAGAAGUACCAACGGCGUAUCUACCAUGUUUUCACCACAUUACACCCGUCUCGUUAUCUAAACACUUAACCAAAAACCAAUCGCUUAUCGUAAUCGUUUGACAUCGUUUCCAAGUCGUCCCCAAAUCGUUUACUCGUUUCACCUCGUGUAUCUCGUUUCAAAUCGUUUAACUCGUCUCAAAAUCUUGGAAGAUGGAAGUAAGUGAAACUACUUUUGGUCGUCUCGCUAACAACAUUCAAACCUGUGUGACUCGAUUAUUGUUCAACUCGUUUUCGCAUUAACAAACCUCCAAAGGGUAAGUUAAAAAUUAUCAGAUUCAGUCGUUACCCACAACCCCCACACAUAACCAUGGGUGUAGUGCAAUAACGGGAUUUGUCAGAUCCUAUGGUACCAUAACCUAAUACUGGUCGGCUUGAUCAAUGUUAAUGAAUGUCAUUCGUUAUGUAAUUACAACCAACAAGUCGUGUACACCUUAUCGAAAUCGUUAGUAGUUUUGUAUAAACCACCU